GUUUGACCUCAAAUCAGGUAGGA
RNAcentral lists this ribosomal RNA (23 nucleotides) under Zygosaccharomyces rouxii. RNAcentral's name for it is "partial 28S ribosomal RNA". The record is from RNAcentral. Lineage: Eukaryota; Fungi; Ascomycota; Saccharomycetes; Saccharomycetales; Saccharomycetaceae. RNAcentral also lists the same sequence under 1 other name.